CCAGAGCUGAGAGAAAAAGCUAGGCGGAUUGGGGAAACAGCCACAGCUGGGGCCACGCCCCAAUCAGGCCUCUGCUGGCCCUAUAAAAGGGCUGUGAGCCAGGUGCUCUGGAGAGUCUCUCUCUACCUGUGGAAAAAGAUAGAUCCAGCUGCCUGGGAGCUGGGAAGGGCCAGAGGUGCUCCAGCCUGGAAAACCCUCAGGCUGCAAGCCUUGCUAAAGGCCAGGAAAGGUACUGAGGCUAGUGAGGUGUAGCCUGGGAAUAGGCAGAGGCAGCUGGUCCACCCCCCUUGCUGAUGAGUAGUUUACAGACUGCAGCCUGCCCCGGUGUUUUUUAAGUCUGUCUUCCUUGGGAAGGAAUGCAGUGGAGAAGAGCCCUGAUUGAUUCAUUUUUUCCAGCAGUGGUUGAGAUUCAGCUGGAGCUGGUAGAGGUGGCAAUGUCAUCUGGGUCCCCCACUCUGGCCUGAUCUGGUACCAUGACCUCCUUAGAUACAGCAACGUAGAUUGGGUUUGUUUUUUUCCUGCGCAGAAGGAGGGUCUCCACAGAAUGGUGGGGAAAAAAGGUUGUACAAGGCCAAAGAGGGAGGGGGGAGAGAAGAGAAUGGGUUAACUCAACGCUUCAGCUUGGCCUAAAGAUAAGAUGCUGGCUCCAGUCCAAGGUCACUGCGCUUGAACAAACUCACUACAGCCAAGAAGCCUGCCGCUGGAUCCAUAUUUCACCGAACCUCAGCUAACCAGGAGAGGAAAAAAAACAAGCCAGACAGGACUGCAGAGAUUGCAAAAACUAGGAGAAUGGCAAAGGCCAGCGAGAGGGAAAACAGUCUUGCAUCUCUAAAGCCAGUGUGUUUUGGGAAAGCUGAGGAAGCCAUGGAAGGCUGGUUUGAACUGGUAUACAAGCUUGAGCAAUAAAGGUCCCAGAAGGAAAUGCCCCCAAGAGACCCCAGGGACUUAAACCCUCCCAGGACCUGAGGCAAAUCAGAGAUCAACAGCAGACCCUGGAUGACCCAUGCCCAGGACAAGAACUCCCAUCCCCCACCCCUCUUACGUUACACCCAGGCUUGGCCAGCCUUGUGUAGUGCAGAUGUGAGUAUGAAAGUGGGUUAGGGCUUGGGGCAUGAACACUUUCUUCUGUCCUCUGAGUGACAUAGGGAACCCCCCAGCACUCUCCACUGGCUUAUGUUAUCAAUAAAGCAUUAAAACUGUU
Dermochelys coriacea (leatherback sea turtle) is the source of this 1201-nucleotide long non-coding RNA. RefSeq lists it as uncharacterized. NCBI's taxonomy places the organism in Eukaryota, Metazoa, Chordata, Testudines, Dermochelyidae. The record is from RefSeq and is a predicted model, not a curated record. The transcript is spliced from 5 exons.